RNAcentral lists this ribosomal RNA (443 nucleotides) under uncultured bacterium. Its description in RNAcentral is "partial 16S ribosomal RNA". It matches the Rfam family "Bacterial small subunit ribosomal RNA", at positions 338 to 795 of the family's 1533-position model. The record is from RNAcentral.
CCUACGGGAGUCAGCAGUGGGGAAUAUUGGGCAAUGGGCGCAAGCCUGACCCAGCAACGCCGCGUGAAGGAAGAAGGCUUUCGGGUUGUAAACUUCUUUUCUGAGGGACGAAGAAAGUGACGGUACCUCAGGAAUAAGCCACGGCUAACUUCGGGCCAGCCGCCGAGGUAAUACGUAGGUGGCAACCGUUAUUCGGAAUUAUUGGGUGUAAAGGGCGUGUAGGCGGGAAAGCAAGUCAGAUGUGAAAACUCCGGGCUCAACCCUGAGCCAGCAUUUGAAACUGUUUUUCUUGAGUGCUGGAGAGGCAAUCGGAAUUCCGUGUGUAGCGGUGAAAUGCGUAGAUAUACGGAGGAACACCAGUGGCGAAGGCGGAUUGCUGGACAGUAACUGACGCUGAGGCGCGAAAGCGUGGGGAGCAAACAGGAUUAGAUACCCGAGUAGUC